Herpailurus yagouaroundi (jaguarundi) is the source of this 746-nucleotide long non-coding RNA. RefSeq lists it as uncharacterized. The transcript has 2 exons. The record is from RefSeq and is a predicted model, not a curated record. NCBI's taxonomy places the organism in Eukaryota, Metazoa, Chordata, Mammalia, Carnivora, Felidae.
CUGAGCUAGGCCAAAAACUAAACCUGUGCAUCAAACACUUUGCCAAGUUGUGAAGGCAGAGGAAGAGUUCUUGAAGAAAUUUACAAAUGCUACUCUAGCGAACACACAAAUGAUAAGAAAGCCAAACAGCCUUGUUGAUAAUAGGGAAAAAGUCUGAGUGGUCUGGAUAGAAGGUUAAACAAGCCACAAGUCCUCUUAAACCAAAGCCUAAUUCAGAGUGAGGCCCUGACUGUCGUCAAUUUUACAAAGGCUGAGAGAUGAGGAAGGUGCGGAAGAAAAGUCUGAAGCUAAGAGAGGUUGGUUCAUGUGGUUUAAGAAAGAAGCCCUCUCCAUAAUGUAAAAGUACAAGAUGAAACAGCAAGUGCUGAUGUAGAAGCUGCAUCAUAAGGUCUAGAUAAGAUAAUUAAUGAAGGUGGGUACAGAUUUUCAAUGUAAGAUGAAACAGCUUUAUAUUGGAAGAAGAUGCCAUCUAGGACUUUUGUAACUGGGGAGAAGUCAAUGCCUGGCUUCAAAGCUUCAGAUGACAGGCUGACUCUCUUGUUAGGGGCUAAUGCACCUGAUGAAUUCAAUGCUUAUUUAUCAUUCUGAAAGCCCUAGGGCCGUUAAGAAUGAUGCUAAAUCUACUCGACUGAUGCUCCUUAAAUGGAACAACCAAACCUGGAUGGUUGUCUACAACAACUGUCUACAACAGUUGUCUACAACAGUUUACUGAAUAUUUUAAGCCCACGAUGUCACCUACUGCAGAG